UAAGCAUAUCAAUAAGCGGAGGAAAAGAAACUAACAAGGAUUCCCCUAGUAACUGCGAGUGAAGCGGGAAAAGCUCAAAUUUAAAAUCUGGCAGUGGUUCACUGCCCGAGUUGUAAUCUAGAGAAGUGUUGCUCACACUGGACCAUGUAUAAGUCUUCUGGAAUGAAGCGUCAUAGAGGGUGAGAAUCCCGUCUUUGACAUGGACUCCCAGUGUAUUUGUAGCAUGCUCUCAAAGAGUCGAGUUGUUUGGGAAUGCAGCUCUAAAUGGGUGGUAACCUCCAUCUAAAGCUAAAUAUUGGCGAGAGACCGAUAGUGAACAAGUACCGUGAGGGAAAGAUGAAAAGAACUUUGGAAAGAGAGUUAAAAAGUACGUGAAAUUGUUGAAAGGGAAACGCUUGAAGUCAGUCACAUUGGCCAGGGAUCAACUUGCUUAAGUGUACUUCCUGGCUGAUGGGCCAACAUCAGCUUUGACUGUCAGAAAAGGGUAGGGGGAAUGUGGCACCCUUCUUGGGUGUGUUAUAGCCCUCUGUCAUAUAUGGCCGUUGGGGCUGAGGAAUGCAGCGCGCCACAAGGCCGGGCUUCGACCACGUUCGCGCUUAGGAUGUUGGCAUAAUGGCUUUAAUCGACCCGU
Molecule: ribosomal RNA, 631 nt
Filed under: Amanita calyptroderma
Lineage: Eukaryota; Fungi; Basidiomycota; Agaricomycetes; Agaricales; Amanitaceae
Description: eukaryotic LSU rRNA
Rfam family: Eukaryotic large subunit ribosomal RNA
Source: RNAcentral